This 1371-nucleotide ribosomal RNA is filed under the name uncultured bacterium. RNAcentral's name for it is "bacterial SSU rRNA". It matches the Rfam family "Bacterial small subunit ribosomal RNA", at positions 1 to 1378 of the family's 1533-position model. The record is from RNAcentral.
UUAGAGUUUGAUCCUGGCUCAGGAUGAACGCUAGCGGCAGGCUUAACACAUGCAAGUCGAGGGGCAGCGCGAGUAGCAAUACUUGGCGGCGACCGGCGCAAGGGUGCGUAACACGUGAGUAACAUACCUGUAUCAGGGGAAUAAGCCAUGGAAACGUGGUCUAAAACCGCAUAAUAUGAACUAUAGGCAUCUAUAGAUUAUUAAAAUUACGAUGGAAAUAGAUUGGCUCGCGGAACAUUAGCUAGUUGGUAAGGUAACGGCUUACCAAGGCGACGAUGUUUAGGGGUUCUGAGAGGAAGGUCCCCCACACUGGAACUGAGACACGGUCCAGACUCCUACGGGAGGCAGCAGUGAGGAAUAUUGGACAAUGGAUGGAAAUCUGAUCCAGCCAUGCCGCGUGAAGGAUAAGGUCCUAUGGAUUUUCAACUUCUUUUGUAUGGGAGCAAUAAGGUCUACGCGUAGACUGAUGAGAGUACCAUACGAAUAAGCAUCGGCUAACUCCGUGCCAGCAGCCGCGGUAAUACGGAGGAUGCAAGCGUUAUCCGGAUUUAUUGGGUUUAAAGGGUGCGUAGGCGGAAGGAUAAGUCAGCGGUGAAACGUACGGGCUCAACCCGUGAACUGCCGUUGAAACUGUUCAUCUGGAAUGCGGAUGCUGUGGGAGGAAUGUGUAGUGUAGCGGUGAAAUGCAUAGAUAUUACACAGAACACCGAUUGCGAAGGCAUCUCACAAAACCGCGAUUGACGCUGAGGCACGAAAGUGUGGGGAUCGAACAGGAUUAGAUACCCUGGUAGUCCACACAGUAAACGUAGAUAAUUAGCUGUAGGAGAGAGACAGUCUGUAUCGGAGAGCAAGAGCUAGGUUAUCCGCUUGCGGAGUACGACGGCAAGGUUGUAUCUCAAAGGAAUUGACGGGGUCCCGCACAAGCGGAGGAACAUGUGGUUUAAUUUGAUGAUACGCGAGGAACCUUACCCGGGCUCGCACGGUGCAUGAAUAUACAAGAGAUUGUAUAGCUAGCAAUAGCAUGUAUCGAGGUGCUGCAUGGUUGUCGUCAGCUCGUGCCGUGAGGUGUCGGCUUAAGUGCCAUAACGAGCGCAACCCUUGUCUUCAGUUACCAGCAAGUAAAGAUGGGGACUCUGGCGAGACUGCCACCGUAAGGUGUGAGGAAGGGGGGGAUGACGUCAAAUCAGCGCGGCCCUUAUGUCCGGGGCGACACACGGUUCCAAUGGUGACUACAGAGGGUAGCUACAUAUCAAUAUGAUGCAAAUCUCAAAAAGUCAUCUCAGUUCGGAUUGGAGUCUGCAACUCGACUCCAUGAAGUUGGAUUCGCUAGUAAUCGCGCAUCAGCCAUGGCGCGGUGAAUACGUUCCCGGG